UACAGGGAGCUACCACUUAACCACUAGAUGCUAAGUUACGUUGGUUUUAAGAGCCUUCACGGCGCUGAAGAGAGCUAGCUGUGGCGUGCGCUUGUUGUGAAGGCUUUGUUCCUCUUUGAUUCGGAUAGAUACGGCGAUCGUUUAAUGGUGUUGGCUUGGCGCCUGUCGCUGCCUAGGGUCUUUUUUGUCGUCCUAUCCUGCUAUCGUUGGUCGUAACGCUAGACGCUCAAGCGCCGCCGCGGCCGGUACGUCGUUCUCGAGCGGCGCGACCGCAUGGUCAGCCGGCCAAAGCAGCCGGAGGGCUGCAGGAUGGACGGCGGCGUGGGCGUGCUGCACCUGCACCUGGAGCAGCUGCCCACCAACCAGCCGCCGUCGCGGCCCCGACCGCUGUUACCGGUGCCGGGCGGCAGCACGCCGUCGCCGGACUCGGUGCAGCGGCUGCGGCACUCGCUCUGCUCCUUCCGCUCCGCCGACCGCAGCUUGGCGCUCAGCCGCGCCGCCAGCGCCUACGCCGCCGCCUCCGUCGACCUGCUCGACAGCCGCACGCGGCGCCUCGACGCGCGCCGGUUGGUCGCCGAGCAGCACCUCGACUUGGCGCGGCUCCGGUCCGUGCGCGUCCAGCAGGCCCUCUUGCGCGCCGAGGCCCUCCUCGAGGCGGCGGACGCCCUCUCCGAGCGGCGGCUCCUUCUCUGGUGGCUAGCUCGCCCUCUUCUGCGGCCGCUGCUUCGACGACGGCGUUCUUGCGGGACCUAAUAAUACAAAAGUAGCUAGCCCGAGAACCCUAACAAGUGAGGACGAAGUCACUUUGUGAUGAGGCAUAGUCAAUUGAAGCAACCGACGUUGUAGCAAGGAUGUCAGGGGACAGCUGAUUAGCGACCACCGGAACCACAACGGGGCGACGGCCGCUGUCGCUGCAGCCUGUGGCCGGUCGGCGGCCUGUGGCCGUCGGUUGAGCGGUAUCUGGUAGAUCAACGAGGUAGGCGACCCGGGCAAGAAGGCACCCCGGUUCCCGGUCACCCACCCAACACACGCGCGCAGCAGCCGCAAACGGAGACGGAAGAGACGGAGUACCAACUGGCUCACCUAACCGAUCCACUCUCUUCAGGACACAAACAGCUAACCGACCGGGACGUACGCGCGGCACUAACCGAGCAAGGGCGCGCGCAGUCACAGAAGCCACACCUUCGACCACGCCAGCGGACGAAACGAUAGGGCCCGAGAGCGCUCUCGCUGCACACGAACCCGAGGCACGCCGGUCUCGCCAGUUUCGUUCACCUUAGUACGAUGAGAUGAACAAAGAUGGACUGGCAAAAGAUGGGUCGACGCAGACACCAGCGUCAACAACAAACCAGGGCGCAAUGUCACUGAACCAACAGCAGAUUCCCACCUCUCCUCCUGUCGGCGUCGUCGUUCGCCGUACGACGGGGUAGGUAAGGUCGGCAGCAUGUACCGGCGUAGCUAAAAGUCAACGGAGUGGAGAACGACAAGCCAAAAGGAGGAAGAAGGAGGAAACAACCAUGUCCUAACAAACAAAGCAACCUUCGCUCCGACGAGCCCAUACACUGAUGUAGUCCACCAAUAAACGAGGGCCUCUAGUUUCUAAUAAAUCGGUAAGGGCACGAAGGUUUCGCUGAGUACUGGGGAGAAUAUUGAGACGAGACCUUAUAACUCAAAUUGUGGACGUAACCAUGACAAUUGGAAAGUCACUCGCUCAAGUGUUCCGUUGACCUUCCCCUUACGUAUAGAGAACAGUAAUACCACAUGUUCGAAUAAACCAUAGUCAAAUCUAACAAGCUAUACCACGUUCCCGUACGCGAUUUACUCUCUUUCUUGGUUGUGUUCCCUUCCUUGUCCCCAGUCUGUUGACUAUAGUACCGUUAGUGAGACAAAGACGGAAAGAUACAAUAACAAAGGUAAGGAAUACUCCUUCCCCAUUGGUAGACU
Molecule: ribosomal RNA, 1944 nt
Filed under: Triticum aestivum (bread wheat)
Lineage: Eukaryota; Viridiplantae; Streptophyta; Magnoliopsida; Poales; Poaceae
Description: partial small subunit ribosomal RNA
Source: RNAcentral